CCUCCACCAGGUCCCCUCUCUCCCUGUCAUCCUCGCCUGAGCCGAGGAGGGAUGGGAAAGGAGAGAGGGAGGCGGAGGACUGUGCAGCCAAGAGUUCUGCCUGAACCACCAGAGUGGCCACCGAGUUCGCCAUGACAGUUUUGGAAUUCCGUCCCACCACCGGAAGCAGCAGAUGUCAGUCCAGCUCUACACAAAACUGACGUGAAGAAAGAAAAAAAACGAAUAAUCCGGCGUCACUCUUCACUUGUGAAAAGCUUGAAGUGGUGGAGGAGCUCCUGGCUGGACUGCAGAACAUCAAACUGGAUGUUUUGUGCAUACAACAACGCACGACGUGACCAAGAAGGCAGCGAGGAGCGGCAGCACACAGCUGAAGGGAAACUCCAGGGUCACUAUAAAAAGAUGCCAUGACGCAGUGCUGCCCACUGCCCAGCUACGGCUUGUGCUGUCAUCCACGUCUGCUCUCACGCUGGUGUACUUCUCGUCUGGGCCGCCAGAGGGGGGUAAACAAUAUCCAUGCAGGGGCAUGGCUUGGUGAGGCUUGGCGAGUGACGUCAGGAGCUGGAGUUGGCUAGUCUGUGUGUGAGCAUCUGGACGUGAGCUGUGGCCUACAGGAGCUUUUCGCAAGUGAUUUCAUUUUGUAUUUGUGGAUUUGUCAUGUACAAUAAACGGCUUAAAGUGCAUCAGAGACUGUGGCUCUCCUUGCCCACAUGUGAGGGCAUCACAGUACCUCUAUUGCUCCAUUGUUUUUUUCACUUAAGUCAAGCAGCAGCGUAUUUAAAGUUUGCAUUUUAGCCCACAACACAAAGCAACAAGAACAACAACAAAAAUCAACCAC
This is a long non-coding RNA of Phyllopteryx taeniolatus (common seadragon), 835 nucleotides long. RefSeq lists it as uncharacterized. The transcript is spliced from 5 exons. The record is from RefSeq and is a predicted model, not a curated record. Lineage: Eukaryota; Metazoa; Chordata; Actinopteri; Syngnathiformes; Syngnathidae.